Molecule: transfer RNA, 80 nt
Filed under: Bryomyces phyllanthus
Lineage: Eukaryota; Viridiplantae; Streptophyta; Bryopsida; Orthotrichales; Orthotrichaceae
Also listed under: 1 other name
Description: Plenogemma phyllantha partial tRNA-Leu
Source: RNAcentral
UCGAAAUCGGUAGACGCUACGGACUUAAAUAAUUUGAGCGAAAAUCCGUUGGCUUUAUUGACCGUGAGGGUUCAAGUCCC